Long non-coding RNA from Protobothrops mucrosquamatus (brown spotted pit viper), 368 nucleotides. RefSeq lists it as uncharacterized. The record is from RefSeq and is a predicted model, not a curated record. The transcript has 3 exons. Lineage: Eukaryota; Metazoa; Chordata; Lepidosauria; Squamata; Viperidae.
UACAGAUUUAUCCAACAAAAUGAAGUUUGUGAUCGUUCUUGCCUGCCUUUUGGCCAUCGUUCUUCCUCUUGAGGCCAGCAGCAGUGAAAGUGAAAGCAAUGAACGGAGAUCCCCACCUUUUCCAUCAUAUCCAUGUCCAGAUGCAUUAACCAAAAAUAUAAUUGAGGCUUUAAUAAAUAUACUCUGUAUCAGAACAGCCCCUCCGAAGAUUGAAUGAAACCUGUUGACUGAUCUUGCUGAGAUGAUCUUUACAAGAUACCUAGAAGAUAGCCUUUUGCUUCUGACACAGCCCAAUGAAUGACCCUGAUUUAAAUUGACUUAUUAAAGCUUUGCAAUGUUUUCCUUUGAAUAAAUUUGAGCAGCAUAAU